RNAcentral lists this transfer RNA (72 nucleotides) under Sphingomonas aquatilis. RNAcentral describes it as "tRNA-OTHER". It matches the Rfam family "tRNA". Rfam says of the family: Transfer RNA (tRNA) molecules are approximately 80 nucleotides in length. Their secondary structure includes four short double-helical elements and three loops (D, anti-codon, and T loops). The record is from RNAcentral. Lineage: Bacteria; Pseudomonadati; Pseudomonadota; Alphaproteobacteria; Sphingomonadales; Sphingomonadaceae.
GCCAGCGUAGCUCAAUCGGUUGGAGCACCGGUCACAACCGGAGGUUGCGGGUUCAAAUCCUCGCCGCUGGCG